CCAAACUCUGUUCUAAGUGUUCAUAAAAUAUAUUUAAUUAUGUACUCUGGAAUUUUACUUUCCUGUUCCAAAGUUUUCAGUGUCUUUUAACCAAUUUUCUUCUUUUUAAAGCCGGUGACCUAUUGUCUCUUUCAUUUUUUACAGUUUCUCUGAUCUUAUCAGCAACUCCAUAGGUCUUAGGUUACCCAUAAACAGCUGCGGGGUGUAAUUUGUUCCUGGAAACAUGAACUUAUUUGAAAUAGAUGGGUGUUCUCUUUCUGUCUCCUCAAUCAUCUCAAGUUUCAGUUCUCUUAUGUUGUUUCACCUUUACCACUUUCAAGUCCCUUUUCCAUACUGAAGAGGGAAAGAAUAUACAAUUGAGUCAGCCCUCUUUUUAGCCUAUAGAUUAUUCUUUUCAGUAAAUUGAUGAUUUUGUGUUUAUAAAAGUCUAUGCAGGCUUAUUUCUCUGUGUCCUCUAAUACAGUCUCCACUCUGGUUAAAGCAGUCUUCCCAUCUUUUUCCUCUUGAAGAUGCCAAGUAACUCUAGCCCGCAAUGUUUUUUCUGUAAUACUAUAUAGUUUGCACCACAUAGUGUAACAAUGGAACAGGUAUUAUUGUCCAUUAAAUGUUCUCUAAUUAUUAUUAUUAUUUUUUGGCUUCCGAAGAAUUGUUGGUUUCUUGACCUUUUUUUGUUCACCUGCAAAGUUGGGGUAUACAAUGGAAUACUACUCAGCCAUAAAAUAGAAUAAAAUAAUGCCAUUUGCAGCAACAUGGAUGAACCUGGAGAUCAUCAGACUAAGUGAAGUAGAUUUUGAGGAGUGAUUGGUGACGUUUUUGUGGGGAUAAUAAUGACAACAGUGUUUGCAUACUGUUGUACAUGUGUUUUCUCAUCAGCAGUGUUUUCCACAACAUUUACUGCACACCAUCACGAUGCAUCACACCUGGAAAUUUGAACUGAUAUAAGUAAAAGCUCUUAAUCUCAGACUACUUACAUUGAAUUGAAGGCGAGACAAUCCAUAAGCAAAAUGAUGUGAACAAGAUGGUAGCAUCUGUGUAGUUGAGAAGAAAGUGAGAUCAUUUUGUCUGGGUUGAUGAGGGUUUUAUGCAUUUUGGUCAUGUUAUCUUGAAGCAAGAAUAGAAGUAAAAGCAGACUGAAUGACCGAGAACAUUGCAAAGAUAAGAAACUCAGGAAACAAAUGCCUAGAAUUGUGGUGGAAAUGAUGCGUAUCCUUCUGAAGUUAAAGCAGGUUGAGGCUACCAGUGAAAAGUACAGUUGGAGAAUAGGGGCGAAUGUAUUAUUUCAGCAACACAUUUUUACAAGCAGAUUUAUUUUUUACUUCCAUUCACUUACUUGCCCACGAAUCCUAGGCCAUCAAGAAUGCAGUCUUAUAAAUGUGUUAACUAAAAAUGUCUUGGGUAUUUCAAAACAGAAAAAUAUAUCAGGUACAGUUUUCACCACUUGCCUUCUUCAGUGUUCUGGUGUAGUUACUAGGACAUUCCAUCUCCCUUUGCCUAGACCCUCACUGCCAAUGGAUUCUGCUAAAGCUUUUUGAUUUUCCUAUUUAAUCCGUAUUCGAUAGGAGAAAUAAAACUUGUUUCCUUGAUUUUUUUAUUUGUAGAACUUAGCAGAGUGACUGUUACGGAGAUCUGGUUUAAAUUUAAGAAGUAGAAAAGCGAAGUAAAAUAUAUACACGGUGUAUACUAUACAGGGUAGACAGAAUUUUUAAAAUAGUCUUUUAAUAGUUAAAAUUCCCCUAAAAGUAAAAAA
Molecule: non-coding RNA, 1747 nt
Organism: Vicugna pacos (alpaca)
Lineage: Eukaryota; Metazoa; Chordata; Mammalia; Artiodactyla; Camelidae
Source: RefSeq, a predicted model, not a curated record